CCUUCGAUAGCUCAGUUGGUAGAGCGGUGGACUGUAGUUGGAAAAAAAUGGACUUAAAAGAAAUCCAUAGGUCGCUGGUUCAAAUCCGGCUCGAAGGA
Molecule: transfer RNA, 98 nt
Filed under: Musca domestica (house fly)
Lineage: Eukaryota; Metazoa; Arthropoda; Insecta; Diptera; Muscidae
Rfam family: tRNA
About the family: Transfer RNA (tRNA) molecules are approximately 80 nucleotides in length.
Source: Rfam by way of RNAcentral